AAAACAACGCCAAUAUUUUAUUUUAUUUUAUUUACAAGGAUAAAAUAUUUAAUAAUUCCUUAAGGAAAUAUAAAAAAAUAACGUACUGACUUAGACUUAAAACUAAUAGCUAAUUAUCACACUAUUAUGUAUUGUAAAUACAUAUUAAUCUUCAAUUAAUUUCUUCUACAGAUUAAACUGUCUAAUGGAUUCAAGUUCCUAAACAGUAUGACAUACAAACAGGAUACGAUGAUCCCUGUGGAUCUCUCCACCGUGAGGUCGGAGAGCACCUAAAUCCACCAGUCCCGGUUGCUAUUAUAGAUACCUCUUAGCGAUCAUUACUCAUAGUAUAGAAUAUAUCCCACCAACCUGCAGUGGAGCAGCGUGGUGGAUAAAGCUGCGAUCUUUCUUCCACAUGGAGAAAGAGUUCUAUUCCCAGCAGAGGAAUGUUACAAGCUGAAUCAGACUCUGAUACGAAAAAAUCUACUAAGAAGUAAAAUUAAUAACAACGUUGUCACAAAACGGCUCUAACGAUUUUGAUAAAGUUUAUAGCGAUUUGCACGGCCGAAAAAUUUAUAUUUUCAAUAAAUAUUGCUUAGACUAUUUUCAGCCAAUUAGUUUGGUCGCACAGGCAUUUAUUUAAUAUUUUGCUCCCAAAUGAAAACCUUUUUAUUUUAAACAUAUACAUUUUGUCUUCAUACUAUUUAGAAUUACAGCUAACUUGAUCUCCAACAGAAAUGUUUUAUUCUGCACACGUUAACAUUUGUACAUACAUUUUCAAAAUAUUUUUUAAAAUGUAUCGAAACAAUAUUUACAACCGUCUAGAAAAAUCUGUACAAUAAAAAAAGCAGAUAACUCCUUAAGAAACGAUUUAAGGUCUAAUGGGGAGUGAAGUCUGGGAGUGAAGUCUGGGAGUGAAGUCUUGUGAAAUAGGAAGUCUGACCUGUCAUGGGAAUGACGUUUUACCGCGCCAAGUUUCUUGCGAGCAAAGAUAAUAUUUUUAAUUGUCACGAUAAUCGUUCAAAAGGAAUUAGCUGCAGUUGCGUGUCGAAGCUGACACACAAUUUUCUUGAAGAUAAAACUUCUUUUGACGCACCGCACACAUAUAUUUUCGUUGGUAGUAAGUUAGGCUGAUACGUCACGCUCUGAGGUGAAAGGCUCGAUCGGGUGAUCUCGGGACUUAUUGGAAUUAUUGCUUGAUUGCGAUCGCCAUGAAGUUUUCAAUUCUGUCGUGUGGUCUUAAGCACACAGUCUAUUUUUUUAUGUUUAUACAAAUAAAGUUUAAAAAAAAAGAAACGGCAAGUUCUAUUUUAUUUUACAUGGCAAUUAUUUUUAUAGUUAAUUAUUUCAAAUUUUGUAUGUAAUGUAAUAGAAACAAAUGAGGACAUACAGACAAUAAAAAUACACAUUUACGUUACCCAAAUAUUAACGAUAAUUUAAAAUCAAUAAAAUAUGUGUUUAUAGGGUUUUAGGGUUAAUUAUGUAUUUUGCAUUACUAUCGUUACUAUAAAAACAACCUAAAAAAUAUAUCAAUGAUAAUUGAUGACACUUCAAGAGAAUUAGUGUCACGUUUAUCAUGUAUAUUUUGAAAGUACUCAGUAAUGAGAUGUAAUUAUCUAUUUUUUUUUACAUAUAAUUUCAGCUAUGUAAUGGCUACAUUUAGUUCAUUUAAGUCGCGAGUGAAUAGGUUAUUUCUAGAUAAACGCUUCAUCCUAGAUCGCAAACGCGUCUUAUCAUGAAAAAAAAACAUGCAUUUUUAUGUCCCUAAACGAAACAUGAUUCGAAACACGUUAUAUACACUAUAUAUAGCCGUUGCUAUUUAACUUUUAUUAGUCGAAUUUGUGUAACGUUUUGUGCUCGACUACUCAGAACGUUCGAAAUUUAAAAUUACUUUAUGUUUGUGGUCAGACAGCGCCGUGUGUCAAGUAAUAAUUAGAGCUUAACAAUAUUCACGUUCGAAAUUUGAAAAAAAAAAAAAAACGAGGAUGCUUUAGACCACACGACUGAAGAAAAAAACUUCUGCACAAUGGCCCUGCACUGUGUUUUAGAUAUAAGAAACGUAACUGGCUAUGAGAGAAAGAGAGAAAAAAGGUAUGCUCACACCUUUUUCUCUCUCGCUCCGUUCACCUCGACUGAUCACAAUCACAUUCCCAAGUCGAGCGUGCGUAAGGAAGUUUCAUUUCAAUGAGUACGAUUAUAAUUACGACGUGUCGUGGUCAGACGCCAGCGGGGUCACGCGGGGUCACGCGGGUCACGCGGGGUAGGCGGGGUCACGCGGGGUAGAUGGGGUCACGCGGGUCACGCGGGG
RNAcentral lists this unclassified non-coding RNA (2287 nucleotides) under Melitaea cinxia (Glanville fritillary). RNAcentral's name for it is "misc RNA ENSMCXG00005014823.1". Lineage: Eukaryota; Metazoa; Arthropoda; Insecta; Lepidoptera; Nymphalidae. The record is from RNAcentral.